This 65-nucleotide transfer RNA is filed under the name Camelus bactrianus (Bactrian camel). It matches the Rfam family "tRNA". From Rfam's summary of the family: Transfer RNA (tRNA) molecules are approximately 80 nucleotides in length. Their secondary structure includes four short double-helical elements and three loops (D, anti-codon, and T loops). RNAcentral also lists the same sequence under 2 other names. The record is from Rfam by way of RNAcentral. Lineage: Eukaryota; Metazoa; Chordata; Mammalia; Artiodactyla; Camelidae.
GGUAUUGCUUAGUGGUAGAGUGAGUGCUUAGCAUGCACGAGGUCCUGGAUUCAAUCCCCAGUACC